Molecule: ribosomal RNA, 253 nt
Filed under: uncultured bacterium
Lineage: Bacteria
Description: partial 16S ribosomal RNA
Rfam family: Bacterial small subunit ribosomal RNA
Source: RNAcentral
UACGGAGGGGGCUAGCGUUGUUCGGAAUUACUGGGCGUAAAGCGCGCGUAGGCGGCUUUGUAAGUUAGAGGUGAAAGCCCGGAGCUCAACUCCGGAACUGCCUUUAAGACUGCAUCGCUAGAAUCAUGGAGAGGUGAGUGGAAUUCCGAGUGUAGAGGUGAAAUUCGUAGAUAUUCGGAAGAACACCAGUGGCGAAGGCGACUCACUGGACAUGUAUUGACGCUGAGGUGCGAAAGCGUGGGGAGCGAACAGG